GGAUGAGAGAACACGUGGAUAACCUACCUAUAAGACUGGGAUAACUUCGGGAAACCGGAGCUAAUACCGGAUAAUAUUUUGAACCGCAUGGUUCAAAAGUGAAAGACGGUCUUGCUGUCACUUAUAGAUGGAUCCGCGCUGCAUUAGCUAGUUGGUAAGGUAACGGCUUACCAAGGCAACGAUGCAUAGCCGACCUGAGAGGGUGAUCGGCCACACUGGAACUGAGACACGGUCCAGACUCCUACGGGAGGCAGCAGUAGGGAAUCUUCCGCAAUGGGCGAAAGCCUGACGGAGCAACGCCGCGUGAGUGAUGAAGGUCUUCGGAUCGUAAAACUCUGUUAUUAGGGAAGAACAUAUGUGUAAGUAACUGUGCACAUCUUGACGGUACCUAAUCAGAAAGCCACGGCUAACUACGUGCCAGCAGCCGCGGUAAUACGUAGGUGGCAAGCGUUAUCCGGAAUUAUUGGGCGUAAAGCGCGCGUAGGCGGUUUUUUAAGUCUGAUGUGAAAGCCCACGGCUCAACCGUGGAGGGUCAUUGGAAACUGGAAAACUUGAGUGCAGAAGAGGAAAGUGGAAUUCCAUGUGUAGCGGUGAAAUGCGCAGAGAUAUGGAGGAACACCAGUGGCGAAGGCGACUUUCUGGUCUGUAACUGACGCUGAUGUGCGAAAGCGUGGGGAUCAAACAGGAUUAGAUACCCUGGUAGUCCACGCCGUAAACGAUGAGUGCUAAGUGUUAGGGGGUUUCCGCCCCUUAGUGCUGCAGCUAACGCAUUAAGCACUCCGCCUGGGGAGUACGACCGCAAGGUUGAAACUCAAAGGAAUUGACGGGGACCCGCACAAGCGGUGGAGCAUGUGGUUUAAUUCGAAGCAACGCGAAGAACCUUACCAAAUCUUGACAUCCUUUGACAACUCUAGAGAUAGAGCCUUCCCCUUCGGGGGACAAAGUGACAGGUGGUGCAUGGUUGUCGUCAGCUCGUGUCGUGAGAUGUUGGGUUAAGUCCCGCAACGAGCGCAACCCUUAAGCUUAGUUGCCAUCAUUAAGUUGGGCACUCUAAGUUGACUGCCGGUGACAACCC
RNAcentral lists this ribosomal RNA (1075 nucleotides) under Staphylococcus aureus. RNAcentral describes it as "bacterial SSU rRNA". It matches the Rfam family "Bacterial small subunit ribosomal RNA", at positions 100 to 1164 of the family's 1533-position model. The record is from RNAcentral. Lineage: Bacteria; Bacillati; Bacillota; Bacilli; Caryophanales; Staphylococcaceae.